UACGUAGGUGACAAGCGUUGUCCGGAUUUACUGGGCGUAAAGAGCGCGCAGGCGGUCGAUCAAGUCGAGUGUGAAAGCCCCCGGCUCAACUGGGGAGGGUCAUUCGAUACUGAUCGACUCGAAGGCAGGAGAGGGUAGUGGAAUUCCCGGUGUAGUGGUGAAAUGCGUAGAUAUCUGGAGGAACACCGGUGGCGAAGGCGGCAUUCUGGACCGAUAUUGACGCUGAGGAGCGAAAGCCAGGGGAGCAAACGGG
RNAcentral lists this ribosomal RNA (253 nucleotides) under uncultured bacterium. RNAcentral's name for it is "partial 16S ribosomal RNA". It matches the Rfam family "Bacterial small subunit ribosomal RNA", at positions 524 to 776 of the family's 1533-position model. The record is from RNAcentral.